Molecule: long non-coding RNA, 999 nt
Filed under: Marmota monax (woodchuck)
Lineage: Eukaryota; Metazoa; Chordata; Mammalia; Rodentia; Sciuridae
Source: RNAcentral
AAUGCAUUUGGCCUAUCUUCAUAGGAAGAAUAAUUAGACUCUACUUUUUGUGGCAAUAGUGUAUAAGAAAUUGCAGGCACCAUUUUUUUUUUUUUUUCCGAAGUCUCCAACUGAUUUCUUGUAUUCUUUGAGUGUCUCACAGACAUUUCUACCCAUCCCAUUCCUCAUUCUAUUUUAGGGUAUAAUACCACAAUUGACCCACUUGCUCAAGCUGGGAAUUAGGUGUCAAACUUGGUUCCUUCCAGUAAGUUUUGAUAAUUCUAUAUCUAAAUAUAUCUUGAAUCCAGGUAGGCUGGUACAUUUUACUUAGUCUUCUUUCAAAUAUUGUCCCACACAAUAUACUUCAACAGUGAAAGAAUAACCUAUCUAUGUUGCCUUGGUAUUAAUUGAAAAACCUGGUGAAAACAUUAUGUUUGAACAUAUCUUCUGGACUCUGAACAUGUUUGCAACUGGCUAAAAUUAUGACAGUUCUUUUUGGCAAAUGGAAUAAUUAUUUGACCUAAAUGUCCUUCAAGGACUUUGGCAAAACAUGGUAAGGUUUUCAAAUAAUUAUCAUUUAGUAAACCUUUUUUUGUGUGUGUGUUUGCUAAGUACUUUGUCUUGUUUUAUUCUAAUAUGGAGAAGCCAAGAUAAAUAGGUAGCUUUUCAAACAUUUUUUUUUUGCAUUUUUUUUUUUUUUACAUUUAAUGGGGCUAGGAGAAAAUUAUUUUCUGUUAAUUAAAAUUAUAUAAUAGUUUUUGGUGAAGAAAUUUUUUUCUUAACCAUCAUGAGCUCUAAGUUGGGAUGGCUCUCUGUAACAAAAGACAUUAACAAUAAAAAAGUUUUUAAUGUGUGCAGUGCAUGUUAUGCAGGAGAUACUUCAAUGUAAAGUAACCCAAGUAGUGCUUAGCAUUCUAAAUCAGGAUCUUCAACAAAGAACAAAUACAAUUCUUUGCCAGUAUCUGGGAAAUGACAGGACAAAGGAAAGUGAUUUUAGGUUUCCAAAGAGGGAAACUCUCA